Mus musculus (house mouse) is the source of this 500-nucleotide long non-coding RNA. RefSeq annotates it as predicted gene, 46046. The record is from RefSeq and is marked validated. NCBI's taxonomy places the organism in Eukaryota, Metazoa, Chordata, Mammalia, Rodentia, Muridae. The transcript is spliced from 2 exons.
AGACCCAGGGCGCGCCGCGCGCCCGCGUCUGGAACAAACGCAACAUUCCUCCCCCCCCCCCCCCGCGCGCGGCUCCGACACCCGCCCCCGCGGGGAGCUGGGUGGUGUGGUUCAGGCGUCCUGGGACGGGGACCAGGCACAUCGGACAGAGCUGGGUGGAGCUCCCACCCGAACGAUGUCCUGGGCGACCCUCGCCUUUCCCAUCAGCAGGACUUGUCGGCUUCUUUUCCAAGAGAGAAACUGAAGUUCAGAGAAGCCAGGGGCCAAAUAAGAACCAGAAGAGGACUGAGGGUCCUGCCGGGCUGACUGUCCAGGAACGAGAGACAUCAAGGGGUGAGAUGCAGGGCUGCUUCUGACUGUCCACAGCAGCUGACUAUGCACACCUGAGGCACCACACGACCUGACUGGCCUGGAACUCACUGCGUAGAUCGGGCUGGCCUUAAACUCACUGAGAUUUGUCUUUCUCCUGCCUGCUGAAAUUAAAGUUGUGCGUCACCCUG